RNAcentral lists this ribosomal RNA (492 nucleotides) under uncultured Agrococcus sp. RNAcentral describes it as "bacterial SSU rRNA". It matches the Rfam family "Bacterial small subunit ribosomal RNA", at positions 1 to 507 of the family's 1533-position model. Lineage: Bacteria; Bacillati; Actinomycetota; Actinomycetes; Micrococcales; Microbacteriaceae. The record is from RNAcentral.
AGACGUUUGAGUCCUGGCUACAGGACGAACGCUGGCGGCGUGCUUAACACAUGCAAGUCGAACGAUGACGGAGGAGCUUGCUCCUCCUGGAUUAGUGGCGAACGGGUGAGUAAUACGUGAGCAAUGUGCCCUUGACUCUGGGAUAAGCGCUGGAAACGGCGUCUAAUACCGGAUACGACGAUCGGAGGCAUCUCCUGGUCGUGGAAAGAACUUCGGUCAAGGAUCAGCUCACGGCCUAUCAGUUAGUUGGUGAGGUAAUGGCUCACCAAGACGACGACGGGUAGCCGGCCUGAGAGGGUGACCGGCCACACUGGGACUGAGACACGGCCCAGACUCCUACGGGAGGCAGCAGUGGGGAAUAUUGCACAAUGGGCGCAAGCCUGAUGCAGCAACGCCGCGUGAGGGACGAAGGCCUUCGGGUUGUAAACCUCUUUUAGCAGGGAAGAAGCGAAAGUGACAGUACCUGCAGAAAAAGCACCGGCUAACUACGUG